This 564-nucleotide ribosomal RNA is filed under the name Salmonella enterica subsp. enterica serovar Montevideo. RNAcentral's name for it is "partial 23S ribosomal RNA". It matches the Rfam family "Bacterial large subunit ribosomal RNA", at positions 319 to 888 of the family's 2925-position model. The record is from RNAcentral. Lineage: Bacteria; Pseudomonadati; Pseudomonadota; Gammaproteobacteria; Enterobacterales; Enterobacteriaceae.
AGCAUGUGUGUUAGUGGAAGCGUCUGGAAAGGCGCGCGAUACAGGGUGACAGCCCCGUACACAAAAGCGCAUGUGCUGUGAGCUCGAUGAGUAGGGCGGGACACGUGGUAUCCUGUCUGAAUAUGGGGGGACCAUCCUCCAAGGCUAAAUACUCCUGACUGACCGAUAGUGAACCAGUACCGUGAGGGAAAGGCGAAAAGAACCCCGGCGAGGGGAGUGAAAAAGAACCUGAAACCGUGUACGUACAAGCAGUGGGAGCACCCUUUGGGGUGUGACUGCGUACCUUUUGUAUAAUGGGUCAGCGACUUAUAUUCUGUAGCAAGGUUAACCGUAUAGGGGAGCCGGAGGGAAACCGAGUCUUAACCGGGCGUUAAGUUGCAGGGUAUAGACCCGAAACCCGGUGAUCUAGCCAUGGGCAGGUUGAAGGUUGGGUAACACUAACUGGAGGACCGAACCGACUAAUGUUGAAAAAUUAGCGGAUGACCUGUGGCUGGGGGUGAAAGGCCAAUCAAACCGGGAGAUAGCUGGUUCUCCCCGAAAGCUAUUUAGGUAGCGCCUCGUGAA